Molecule: long non-coding RNA, 450 nt
Filed under: Helianthus annuus (common sunflower)
Lineage: Eukaryota; Viridiplantae; Streptophyta; Magnoliopsida; Asterales; Asteraceae
Description: sRNA HanXRQr2_Chr13g0614531
Source: RNAcentral
UUUCUCUUCUUCUUUACUCUAUACGUUGGUGUUAUAACCAAUAAUCACCAAAGCGAAGUUCUGUCCGAUUGAUUAGGAACCAACGAACGAAUGCCAAAGUGUUGUACUUUGUGAAUUUCGGUAAACGGAAUCCAAAGUACUAUACCUUGUGAUUUCGAUAAACGGAAUCCAAAGUAUUACAUUUUGUAAAUUUUGUUAAGGUUCGAAUCUCGUGACUACCGUUAGGUGUGAUUUGGGUUUUACACAAAUACGUAUUCCAUUCUGUUAAACUAUAUGUUUAACUACCGAAAAUACUUCCCACUACACACUCACAAUCAAACAAACUAUUAAAUCAUCAGAAGAUCCAGAAUAAUAAAGGGCAUGCUUAAUUAUCGAAAGAAGUAGAAUCAAGAAGUUGUUAACUCAAUCCUACAUGCUAAUUUGUAAUUACAGUAUAUUGGAGUAAGGAUU